RNAcentral lists this ribosomal RNA (497 nucleotides) under uncultured bacterium. Its description in RNAcentral is "partial 16S ribosomal RNA". It matches the Rfam family "Bacterial small subunit ribosomal RNA", at positions 28 to 507 of the family's 1533-position model. The record is from RNAcentral.
GAUGAACGCUGGCGGCGUGCCUAAUACAUGCAAGUCGAGCGAACGGACGAUAAGCUUGCUUCUCUGAUGUUAGCGGCGGACGGGUGAGUAACACGUGGAUAACCUACCUAUAAGACUUGGAUAACUUCGGGAAACCGGAGCUAAUACCGGAUAAUAUUUUGAACCGCAUGGUUCAAAAGUGAAAGACGGUCUUGCUGUCACUUAUAGCUGGAUCCGCGCUGCAUUAGCUAGUUGGUAAGGUAACGGCUUACCAAGGCAACGAUGCAUAGCCGACCUGAGAGGGUGAUCAGCCACACUGGAACUGAGACACGGUCCAGACUCCUACGGGAGGCAGCAGUAGGGAAUAUUCCGCAAUGGGCGAAAGCCUGACGGAGCAACGCCGCGUGAGUGAUGAAGGUCUUCGGAUCGUAAAACUCUGUUAUUAGGGAAGAAAAUAUGUGUAAGUAACUGUGCACAUCUUGACGGUACCUAAUCAGAAAGCCACGGCUAACUACGUG